RNAcentral lists this ribosomal RNA (536 nucleotides) under Heptageniidae sp. MK-2010. RNAcentral's name for it is "SSU rRNA". It matches the Rfam family "Eukaryotic small subunit ribosomal RNA", at positions 620 to 1119 of the family's 1831-position model. The record is from RNAcentral. RNAcentral also lists the same sequence under 2 other names. Lineage: Eukaryota; Metazoa; Arthropoda; Insecta; Ephemeroptera; Heptageniidae.
UAAAAAGCUCGUAGUUGGAUCUGUGUAUCGGACGGUCGGUUCGCCGCUCGCGGUGUUUGACUGACCGGUCCGGACGUCAUGCCGGUGGGGCUUCGGCGCAAGUCGGAGCUCCGUAAUUUACCCUCCGCGCUGCUCUUAACCGAGUGGUUCGGUGGGCCGGCACGUUUACUUUGAACAAAUUUGAGUGCUCAAAGCAGGCCUUAUGUUGCCUGAAAACUGUGUGCAUGGAAUAAUGGAAUAGGACCUUGGUUCUAUUUUGUUGGCUUUCUGAACUUGAGGUAAUGAUUAACAGGGACAGACGGGGGCAUUCGUAUUGCGACGUUAGAGGUGAAAUUCUUGGAUCGUCGCAAGACGUACCGAUGCGAAAGCGUUUGCCAAGAAUGUUUUCGCUAAUCAAGAACGAAAGUUAGAGGUUCGAAGGCGAUUAGAUACCGCCCUAGUUCUAACCAUAAACGAUGUCAGCCAGCGAUGCGCCGAUGUUCCUCCGAUGACACGGCGCGCAACUUCCGGGAAACCAAAGCUUUUGGGUUCCGGGG